GCAGGCCUAACACAUGCAAGUCGAACGGUAACAGGAAGCAGCUUGCUGCUUCGCUGACGAGUGGCGGACGGGUGAGUAAUGUCUGGGAAACUGCCUGAUGGAGGGGGAUAACUACUGGAAACGGUAGCUAAUACCGCAUAACGUCGCAAGACCAAAGAGGGGGACCUUCGGGCCUCUUGCCAUCGGAUGUGCCCAGAUGGGAUUAGCUAGUAGGUGGGGUAACGGCUCACCUAGGCGACGAUCCCUAGCUGGUCUGAGAGGAUGACCAGCCACACUGGAACUGAGACACGGUCCAGACUCCUACGGGAGGCAGCAGUGGGGAAUAUUGCACAAUGGGCGCAAGCCUGAUGCAGCCAUGCCGCGUGUAUGAAGAAGGCCUUCGGGUUGUAAAGUACUUUCAGCGGGGAGGAAGGCGAUAAGGUUAAUAACCUUGUCGAUUGACGUUACCCGCAGAAGAAGCACCGGCUAACUCCGUGCCAGCAGCCGCGGUAAUACGGAGGGUGCAAGCGUUAAUCGGAAUUACUGGGCGUAAAGCGCACGCAGGCGGUCUGUCAAGUCGGAUGUGAAAUCCCCGGGCUCAACCUGGGAACUGCAUUCGAAACUGGCAGGCUAGAGUCUUGUAGAGGGGGGUAGAAUUCCAGGUGUAGCGGUGAAAUGCGUAGAGAUCUGGAGGAAUACCGGUGGCGAAGGCGGCCCCCCUGGACAAAGACUGACGCUCA
RNAcentral lists this ribosomal RNA (719 nucleotides) under Enterobacter hormaechei. RNAcentral describes it as "bacterial SSU rRNA". It matches the Rfam family "Bacterial small subunit ribosomal RNA", at positions 42 to 749 of the family's 1533-position model. Lineage: Bacteria; Pseudomonadati; Pseudomonadota; Gammaproteobacteria; Enterobacterales; Enterobacteriaceae. The record is from RNAcentral.